Molecule: long non-coding RNA, 1125 nt
Filed under: Rattus norvegicus (Norway rat)
Lineage: Eukaryota; Metazoa; Chordata; Mammalia; Rodentia; Muridae
Description: long non-coding RNA NONRATT009198
Source: RNAcentral
UUGUAAGUUUUUUAACAAUUUGCUUAGCUUCCACAAUUUCUCGUUUGUAUUCAUUCAUGAUGCAGCUAUCAGCUGGAAGAAGGUGCACAUAGAGAUCAUCCAAAUCGAGAAGGUUAAACUGCAGGAGCACUGCUGCAGCUCUAUACAAGGAGGAUGGAGUCUCACCAUUUGGCUCCUGGUAAAACUUGAAUUUGAACCCAAGAAUGUGGCACAGUGUCUGUGGUUCACACAUACUCAUAUAAGCUUGUAAUAAAGAUAUAAAAAAAUCAUGGUGUUCUGGCCUGCAUUCAAACACUUCUAAAAUGAUAUCCAAAACUCUGUUGGGAUCUAGAUUAAAGCAUCCUAUUAAAGAUUUGAGAAUUUCUAAGAUUAAAUCACUAGUGAUACUCCCAGAUAAAUCUUGCCCUAAUUCAACUAUCAGCUUGGCAUAACCUUCAUUUUCUUCUCUUAACAAAUUGAACUUCUGCUGUUUGUAGAAGAGUUUCGUUUUGAUCUUAACUGAUUUUUGAUUGAAUUGCUGAGACUGUUUGAUAAGGCCUAAUGAUUCCAAUGUUUCUGGAUCCAAGCGUUCCUUCAGAACUGUGUCUGAAACUAAAUAUAAACAUGCUAAUAUCAGUUGUGUAAAAUGAUCUCUCUUGCUUUUUUCUUCUAGGCAAUUUGUCUCAAUAUCUAAUAUGCAGAAUAUAUCAGCAAGAAUAAACGGAAUAUCUUCUCGAAAUUCACUGAUGUCAUUAAGAACACUUGAGGCCUGUUCGGGCUUUAAAGUUCCUUUAAUGACAUGGUAUGAUAACUCAUAGAGUGCUUGCUGGAAAUCUCUACAAGCCAAAGUGUCACGGCUUUUACUUUCACUGAGAAUCCGGCAUAAACGCAAAAACUCGCCUCUCCCAGAUUUCUCCCAGGUCUUGAUCCACUCUGCAGGAACCACUACAGUUGUCGAGGCCAUCGCCACUUGUGCACUAACACUUUUGCUCCAGAAGGUCCAAGGAACGAUCCGCCCACAGCGAACACAGAUAUUCCGAAGGAAGGGUUUUAGUGCUGUUUUUCUGGAUCUGGAAGCAGGGAGUGUUGGAUGCUCAUUGCUGUAGGUCACGCUCGCGUUCGGCCGGUGUCGCCGUCCGCGGCCGC